CCUACGGGAGGCAGCAGUGGGGAAUAUUGGGCAAUGGAGGCAACUCUGACCCAGCAACGCCGCGUGAAUGAUGAAGGUCUUCGGAUUGUAAAGUUCUGUGAUGGGGGAUGAACACAAUGACGGUACCCCAAUAGCAAGCCACGGCUAACCACGUGCCAGCAGCCGCGGUAAUACGUAGGGGUCAAGCGUUAUCCGGAAGGACUGGGCGUAAAGGGAGCGUAGACGGCAGCACAAGUCUGAAGUGAAAUGCCGGGGCUUAACCCCGGAACUGCUUUGGAAACUGGGCGGCUAGAGUGCAGGAGAGGUAAGUGGAAUUCCUAGUGUAGCGGUGAAAUGCGUAGAUAUUAGGAGGAACACCAGUGGCGAAGGCGGCUUACUGGACAUUAACUGACGCUGAGGCGCGAAAGCGUGGGGAGCAAACAGGAUUAGAUACCCGAGUAGUC
RNAcentral lists this ribosomal RNA (443 nucleotides) under uncultured bacterium. Its description in RNAcentral is "partial 16S ribosomal RNA". It matches the Rfam family "Bacterial small subunit ribosomal RNA", at positions 338 to 795 of the family's 1533-position model. The record is from RNAcentral.